GUCCAGCUGACGAGUCCCAGGUAGGGCAAAACGCGAGUCCUGGAU
Non-coding RNA from Schistosoma mansoni, 45 nucleotides. NCBI's taxonomy places the organism in Eukaryota, Metazoa, Platyhelminthes, Trematoda, Strigeidida, Schistosomatidae. The record is from Rfam.